UACGUGGGGUGCGAGCGUUAAUCGGAAUUACUGGGCGUAAAGCGUGCGCAGGCGGUAAGUUAAGUCUGAUGUGAAAGCCCCGGGCUCAACCUGGGAAUGGCAUUGGAAACUGGCUUGCUGGAGUGUGGCAGAGGGGGGUGGAAUUCCGCGUGUAGCAGUGAAAUGCGUAGAGAUGCGGAGGAACACCGAUGGCGAAGGCAGCCCCCUGGGCCAACACUGACGCUCAGGCACGAAAGCGUGGGGAGCAAACAGG
This 253-nucleotide ribosomal RNA is filed under the name uncultured bacterium. RNAcentral describes it as "partial 16S ribosomal RNA". It matches the Rfam family "Bacterial small subunit ribosomal RNA", at positions 524 to 776 of the family's 1533-position model. The record is from RNAcentral.